This 446-nucleotide ribosomal RNA is filed under the name uncultured bacterium. RNAcentral describes it as "SSU rRNA". It matches the Rfam family "Bacterial small subunit ribosomal RNA", at positions 26 to 518 of the family's 1533-position model. The record is from RNAcentral.
AGAACGAACGCUGGCGGCAGGCCUCAAACAUGCAAGUCUAGGGGGUGUAGCAAUACAUCACCGGCGGACGGGUGCGUAACACGUGGGAAUAUACCUUUUGGUUCGGAACAACGCAGGGAAACUUGCGCUAAUACCGAAUGUGCCCUUACGGGGAAAGAUUUAUCGCCAAAGGAUUAGCCCGCGUCCGAUUAGCUAGUUGGUGAGGUAAUGGCUCACCAAGGCUCCGAUCGGUAGCUGUUCUGAGAGGAAGAUCAGCCACACUGGGACUGAGACACGGCCCAGACUCCUACGGGAGGCAGCAGUUGGGAAUCUUGGACAAUGGGGGAACCCUGAUCCAGCCAUGCCGCGUGAGUGAUGAAGGCCUUCGGGUUGUAAAACUCUUUCGACGGGACGAUAAUGACGGUACCCGUAGAAGAAGCUCCGGCUAACUUCGUGCCAGCAGCCGC